UGAGUAACCUGCCCUUCACUCUGGGAUAACUCCGGGGAAAACCGGGGCUAAUACUGGAUAUGACUCGAACAGGCAUCUGUUUCGGGUGGAAAGAUUUAUUGGUGGAGGAUGGACCCGCGGCGCAUUAGCUAGUUGGUGAGGUAACGGCUCACCAAGGCAACGAUGCGUAGCCGACUGAGAGGGUGAUCGGCCACAUUGGAACUGAGACACGGUCCAGACUCCGUACGGGAGCA
RNAcentral lists this ribosomal RNA (233 nucleotides) under uncultured bacterium. RNAcentral describes it as "partial 16S ribosomal RNA". It matches the Rfam family "Bacterial small subunit ribosomal RNA", at positions 118 to 347 of the family's 1533-position model. The record is from RNAcentral.